UCCCUGGUGGUCCAGUGGUUAAGAUUCUGUGCUUUAACUGCAAGGGGCAUGGGUUCAAUUCCUGGUCGGGGAA
Molecule: transfer RNA, 73 nt
Filed under: Ovis aries (sheep)
Lineage: Eukaryota; Metazoa; Chordata; Mammalia; Artiodactyla; Bovidae
Rfam family: tRNA
About the family: Transfer RNA (tRNA) molecules are approximately 80 nucleotides in length. Their secondary structure includes four short double-helical elements and three loops (D, anti-codon, and T loops). Further hydrogen bonds mediate the characteristic L-shaped molecular structure. tRNAs have two regions of fundamental functional importance: the anti-codon, which is responsible for specific mRNA codon recognition, and the 3' end, to which the tRNAs corresponding amino acid is attached (by aminoacyl-tRNA synthetases). tRNAs cope with the degeneracy of the genetic code in two manners: having more than one tRNA (with a specific anti-codon) for a particular amino acid; and 'wobble' base-pairing, i.e. permitting non-standard base-pairing at the 3rd anti-codon position.
Source: Rfam by way of RNAcentral